RNAcentral lists this ribosomal RNA (468 nucleotides) under uncultured bacterium. Its description in RNAcentral is "bacterial SSU rRNA". It matches the Rfam family "Bacterial small subunit ribosomal RNA", at positions 329 to 796 of the family's 1533-position model. The record is from RNAcentral.
GGCCAGACUCCUACGGGAGGCAGCAGUGAGGAAUAUUGGUCAAUGGUCGGGAGACUGAACCAGCCAAGCCGCGUGAGGGAUGAAGGUACAGAGUAUCGUAAACCUCUUUUGUCAGGGAGCAAGGUGCAGGUCGGGACCUGCUGUGAGAGUACCUGAAGAAAAAGCAUCGGCUAACUCCGUGCCAGCAGCCGCGGUAAUACGGAGGAUGCGAGCGUUAUCCGGAUUUAUUGGGUUUAAAGGGUGCGCAGGCGGAAGAUCAAGUCAGCGUUAAAUUUGAGAGGCUCAACCUCUUCGAGCCGUUGAAACUGGUUUUCUUGAGUGAGCGAGAAGUAUGCGGAAUGCGUGGUGUAGCGGUGAAAUGCGUAGAUAUCACGCAGAACUCCGAUUGCGAAGGCAGCAUACCGGCGCUCAACUGACGCUCAUGCACGAAAGUGUGGGUAUCGAACAGGAUUAGAUACCCGAGUAACC